GAAAUGCGAUACGUAAUGUGAAUUGCAGAAUUCAGUGAAUCAUCGAGUCUUUGAACGCACAUUGCGCCCCCUGGUAUUCCGGGGGGCAUGCCUGUCCGAGCGUCAUUGCUGCCCUCAAGCACGGCUUGUGUGUUGGGCCCCCGUCCCCCCCCCAAGGGGACGGGCCCGAAAGGCAGCGGCGGCACCGUGUCCGGUCCUCGAGCGUAUGGGAAGCAACUUUUUGUCACCCGCUCCUGUAGGUCCGGCCGGCGGCCUGCCCAACCCCAACCUUUUUUUCAACCAGGUUGACCUCGGAACAGGUAGGGAUACCCGCUGAACUUAAGC
Molecule: unclassified non-coding RNA, 324 nt
Filed under: plant metagenome
Description: partial contains 5.8S ribosomal RNA, internal transcribed spacer 2, and large subunit ribosomal RNA
Rfam family: 5.8S ribosomal RNA (bases 1-105)
Source: RNAcentral